This 157-nucleotide small RNA is filed under the name Streptomyces clavuligerus. RNAcentral's name for it is "c-di-AMP sequence". It matches the Rfam family "c-di-AMP riboswitch aptamer (ydaO/yuaA leader)". Rfam says of the family: This family represents a conserved RNA structure found upstream of the ydaO and yuaA genes in Bacillus subtilis and related genes in other bacteria. Lineage: Bacteria; Bacillati; Actinomycetota; Actinomycetes; Kitasatosporales; Streptomycetaceae. The record is from RNAcentral.
CGUGCGCGUGCGCCGAAUCCCGCGAGGGAACCGGGGAACCACCUUUUGGGGUGAAUCGGGCUUCAUCCGCCGUGCAGUUCGCGGUGGAGGCCGCCCGUAGGAGACCUUCCUGCUCCGAACCCGUCAGCUAACCCGGUAGGCGAGAAGGAAGGAAAGG